Long non-coding RNA from Gadus macrocephalus (Pacific cod), 1040 nucleotides. RefSeq lists it as uncharacterized. NCBI's taxonomy places the organism in Eukaryota, Metazoa, Chordata, Actinopteri, Gadiformes, Gadidae. The record is from RefSeq and is a predicted model, not a curated record. The transcript is spliced from 3 exons.
AGCGUACCCAAUUAAGGUAAUCUGGCAGUGCCCCAUUUCUAUAGGUAACCAUCUGCGAUUAUUGGUAAAUCCUUAUGCACUAGAAAUUAGGAAGGGCACUCUUAAAAUAUAUUUUUAAUUAUCCCACAAAAUACCGCAAACUACUUUGAUAACUGCGCUCUACAAUCAACUCUCGAUUUUCUGCGCAUACAUUUAUCGGGUUGCGUAAAAGAUGGAGACGACGGCAUUUACCUACUACGGCUUUUUAUUUCUUCAACAACCCAGCAGCUGAAUGUGGCUAAGUAUCAUUUUACUAUCUAAAUUACUAUUGAUAUUGCUAGUGUUCUAAAUAUCUGGGCUGUGAUCUGCUCAAUAUAGUUUCUGCUAGACUUCAGAAACAAAAGGAAGGGUUAAAUGUAAGUGUGCUUAUUCACGUAUUAUCAAAUGGUAUAGCUGUUUAGAAAAGUAAAGUUAAUUGUUGCGCAAAUGCUACCAUAAACCUUUGACUUUUGAAUAAAUCAAACUAAGCACAAGGCAACUAAGAUACGUGGUGACCAAGAACUCUUAUAUUGAUGUUCAGUUUAUUAUUGGUGAGGCAGUGAUGUAAAGCGCGUUGUGUUGUUUUUAAAUGGAUGAAUGUUGUGCUAACAGACGGGGGGAAACUCCAGGCCUUGCAGUCCUGAUCCUGUAUGAUGCAGAAGAUGUCAAUCCAACCGCACAUUGAUCUCUGCAGCGUGGUCGGUGGGAGGAGAUGUGGCCGAGCUGUUGAACCAGGCUCUAUCGGUACCCGAUGCCCUUGGCUGAUGGAGGAACUGCAUCUGGAGGACGACCAUGAAUCUACCUGCCAACAGGUGGUACUGGUUUGCACUGGUUUGCAUGAACUGAACAUGGUGGACAUGAGGCAAAUCCCCUGCUGUUUGCCCCAGACCAGGACUGGGUGAUGGAGGGGUGGUGAUGGAGCCGUGCUGAGGACCCGCUGGUGAAGGACGUCCCUCGUGGGGGGGCAAGGACAGCCGACCCUGAGGUGAUUAUACCUUACACUGCCACCUCAAUGUGAAGGA